Molecule: long non-coding RNA, 27692 nt
Filed under: Jatropha curcas
Lineage: Eukaryota; Viridiplantae; Streptophyta; Magnoliopsida; Malpighiales; Euphorbiaceae
Description: long non-coding RNA (JCUR_LNC001775)
Source: RNAcentral
AUUUGUGUUAUUGAACUUUUUAGUGCUAAAAGAGUUCAAUCGUUUCAAUCCAUUAGAGAAGAAGAAGUGGGUCUUUUAAUCGAUUCUAUUUUAAAAGCUUCUUCUUCUUCUUCUCCUGUGAAUCUUAGUGAAAUGACUUUGGCUCUUACUGCAAAUAUUACUUGUAGAGAAGCUUUUGGGAAAAGUUUUGAAGCAAGAGGAUUUAGCCAGGAGAGAUUUCAAGAAGUGAUUCAUGAAGGCUUUGCCAUGUUGGGGAGUUUUUCUGCAGCUGAUUUUUUUCCUUAUGUGGGUUGGAUUGUUGAUAGGCUUACAGGUCUCCAUGCAAGACUUGAAAAAAACUUUCAAGAAUUUGAUGAGUUCUACCAAAAGAUUAUCGAUGAUCAUAUCCAAAAGGAACGAAAUGAGAAAGAACAUGGACAAGAAGACAUUAUUGAUGUUUUGUUGGAUUUGGAGAGAGAUCAAAAUGAUCAUCAAUCAAGUGCAUUUCGAUUAUCCCAAGAUCGUAUUAAAGCAAUUCUCAUGGUAAGCUAACUUGUCCUUUUCCUUUUCUUUCCCAAUUAAUGUGUUCCAAUACUCUCUUAUUGGAGUGCUUUCAUAAGUAAUUUGAUUAACGUUUUAAGAAAUAGUUAUCUGUUAUCAUAUAAGAUUAGUUCGGUUGAUAUAUUGGUUGGGAUUUUAUCUUUAUUUUUCAUUUUGUGUGAUUAAUUUUCUUACCAAUAUAUAAAAUUAAGUAAUCAGACUAUAAUUAAUUAGUUUCAAGAAAAAGUAUGCAGAUGAUAAAUAUUAUUCUAUUACGUUACGUGCUUUGAAAAUUUUAUUUUUUUGAGAAUUGCUUUGAAAAUUUUAUAGUUUGGAACUAAAUCAACUUUGACCGUAUAUAGCCUUUUAAAAAGUGCUAUUUGGAAGAUCAAGACGUGUUUUUAUAGUUAAAUAUGAAAAGAAUGCAAAAAAAAAAAAAAAAAAGAGUAAAUUAUGAAAGCCGCCGAUGGCCGGGGCCGCUGGUGAUGGUGGCCGGUGGUGGUAGCCGGUGGUGUGGUCGGUAGUAAAUGGUGACCUGUGAUAGUGACGGUGAUGAUUAAUAAAUUAAAAAAAUGGAUUUAGAAGGUUAAUUUGCCAAUGUUCGGAAAAUGUUUUAAAUGGAAAGUUGUUUUCCUUAAAGAAUAACUUACUUUUCCUUUAAUCAGGAAAAUAUUUUCCGUUUACUUAUUUUUCUGAAUACCCCAAACGACGGAAAAUUAUGAAAAAUACUUUCUUGUAAAUUAUUUUAUGGAAACAAAUGGAGUCUAAAAAAUAAAAACGAUAAAACAGUAACAUUUUUUAAAAAAAUUAGAUUGAUAUAUGAGAUAAUGUAUACACCGGAUUUAGUAAGUCUUAUGUCUCGAACUUAUUGUUCACCAACUGGUUCAUAAGCUAAAUUAUUCACCAAGCUGAUUCAUACGCUAAAAGCUGUUUGUCGUACACACAUAUAUUGGUUUUUUUAUUUUCGAUCUUGUUGUGCAUCUGUAACAAAAAUCUAUAUAUGAACUUUUUAGAAUAUAUUUUUAGCUGGAGUGGACACUGGAGCAAUAACCCUGGUGUGGGCCAUGGCGGAGCUUAUCAAAAAUCCCAGGGUUAUGAAGAAAGCACAAAAAGAAAUCAGGACUCUCAUUGGAAACAAAAGAGAAGUAUCUGAAAGUGACAUUGACAAGCUUUACUACUUAAAGAUGGUAUUAAAAGAAACAUUGAGACUUCACCCACCAGCAACAUUAUUAGUUCCUAGAGAAUCCAUUUCCAAAUUCAAUAUUGGUGGCUAUGAAGUUUACCCUAAAACUCGAAUACAAGUCAAUGUGUGGGCGAUUGGAAUAGAUCCUGAGGUUUGGAAAGAUGCAGAAAGGUUCUUUCCAGAGAGGUUUAUGGACAAAGAUAUUGAUUAUAAAGGUCAACAUUAUGAGUUUUUACCAUUUGGUGCUGGGAGGAGAGGUUGUCCAGGCAUUUCCAUGGGAAUGGUUAUGGUGGAGCGUGCACUUGCAAACCUUUUGUAUUGGUUUGAUUGGAGGUUGCCUAAUGACAUGAAGGGGGAAGAUUUUAGCAUGGAAGAGGAAGCUGGUCUUGCAACUUAUAAGAAAGUAUCUUUAGUGCUUUUUCCAGUUAAAUACCAACCCUAAUUAAUUAUUGAUUAAGCACGAAACAUCUUAAAUAAUUUUAUUUUAUUUAAUCCAAACUAUAAAAAUAAUAAUUUUAUAAUUAAUUUAAAAUUAAUUAAAUAAUUAAUUAAAUCAUGCUAAAUUAAAUUUAAAAUAACAUUUUAAGCUGUUAUGGUCUUGAAUAUUGUGUACAUUGGUUCUUAAGUUUGAUUUUUCUUUUUUUUUUUUUCAAUAAAUUUGCUUAUACCUUUUUCCCUCUCUAUUAUUGGAUGAAACUUAUUAAUUGAUAACUGAUCAUAAUUUUUUUAGCCUUUUUGAUAACUUUGUUAUUGGAUUUUUUUUUCUUUUUAGAUUUCUUUCAACAAUAAAAUUUUUUUUUCUUUUCAAAAGAAAUAUUUUUUGUCCAGCCAUUAAUUGGACGAAUGCUUUAAAUAUGUAGUUUUAUUCGACAAAAUUAAUUGUUUUAGUACUUGUUAAAUAUUUUGCUAGUAUUUGAAAAAGGUAAUCUACUCAAAUAUAAACACAUAAAUAAAAGUGUCAAAAUACUAAACCUUCAAAAAAAUAAAAUUUCAGCUUUUUGUAAAAAAUUAUCGUUGUUUAGAAAAGUAAAAUUUCAAGAAAGUAUUAUAAGAAAUUAUAAGAAAAUUGAAUUAUUGUGUUUGAAUGAUAUUACAGUUUUCCAAAAGGUAGCAUAACUAUAAUAACAAAUGUUAUUAUAUAAUUUAAAUGAUUUAUUCUUUAGAAUUCUAAUUUUUGCGCCUUUUAAAAUAGAAAAAAAAAAAUUAAACCUACAUACUUAAAUUUUUUUUUUUUUUUAAGAAAGUACCAAACAAAUAUUGUAAUCUAACUUUUUUUGUGAGAUUUGGUCAACCAAAGCCUCUUAAAGCGUUGAAUUAAAUAAAAAAAAGUUUUGGUAUGUAAAAAUAUAUAAAAACUCUUUAAGAAGGCUUUGGUCCAACAAAAGAUAAAUUCCUUAUACUAAUCAAAUAGUUACUUAUAUUAAACACUUAUUAAAACAGUUAUUUAUAUUAAACACUUUUUUUCUAAAUCGCUAUAUAAUCAGUUAACCACUAACAUGUAGCAGCCCAAGCCUAGCAAAAUAUUAUCCGCUUUGGGCCGAACUCGGUCUAGAUAAAUUUAAACCAUUAAAAAAAUAGUUACUCCUUUUGUUCCAUAUUUUCCUGUUUCAACGAGUAAUAAAUAUCUUUUUUUCAUGUUUACCCUUUGUAUAUGACCAAUAAUUAUUACUUCAAUUUAAUAGUUUUCUUAGAAAAUUAAUAUUAAAUUAAGUGAACAUAGUCAAUUUACUUAAUAAUUUAUUGUAAAUUUGUAACUUAGAUAAAUUUAAUGAUUUUUUUAAAGACGUAAAAUUAUAUAUGUGACAAGUAUUAUGAAAUAAAAGUAGUAUAUAAAACCAACUUUGGAAAUAGUUAUAUUAUUCAACUGAACUUGCAACUCAAUUCAUUAUGAGGUUUAAGGGCGAAAUAACACUGUUGCAACUUUGGUAUGUUAAUGUUGUGGUUUCCUGUCAUGUGUUGUUCGUGCUUCAUAGAUGAAUGCAAAAAUCAUAAUAUAAACAUUAAAAUAAAAUAAAAAUCAAAUCUAUAAUAAAGUAAAAAAACUGAAAAGCUACUGUUUAAUUUGAGUUAAUUCAAUCAAAUAUAUAUAUAUAUAUAUAUAUAUAUAUAUAUAUAAAAGCAUAAAUCCCAGAAUUGAAUUUAUAUACAAACGCCAUCAUCUCCAGCCUAGAUUUGUGUUAUACCAGGUGAUUCAAAUCAUCAAUACUAACAGUAACAGGUACGCCACGAACAGAAUCUCGACAAACAGGACAAUCUCGACCCUUCAGAAGCCAUUCAUCGAUACAAGAAUCAUGAUAUCAAUGCUUGCACUUAUUCAGAAUCUUACACUUAUCUCCCUCUUUGUAUUCCUCCAAGCAAAUACAACAACAGUCAACCUUCCCGCCCUGGAAUAUAACAACGACAGUUCCCGGUACGAAUUGUCGUUGUUGAGAGGGACUGACAGUGGCCGAACCGGAGCUGCUUCCGCUUGGAGACUGAAGUUGAAAGCAGGCGGCGAUAAGGUAGAAAGUGGAAAGUAAACAGAACGGUGUUGCUAAGCAGACUAAAACUAUAGGGUCCAUUGAGUUGUCAAUAAAUUGUCAGUGAAAUAACAAGAGAAAGGAAGAAAGGGAUAAUAGAGUUUAUGUAGAGUUGCUAUUGGACUAUUCCAAUUCUAAAUUGGAGUAGAAACCCUGGAUUUAGGGUUCAAUAGAAUUCCUAUUCCUGCUCAGAAAAGGAAGAGAAAAAAAGGUGUGUAGAAAAGUUUUGUUAGUUCGUGUUAAGCUACUCACGUGUUUUACGUAACGGGUAGAGUUGAGUUGCGGGUUUAUUAGAUAAAUUGAUAUAUCCGACUAAUCUCACGAAAGCCAUAAAUAUCUGUACAACGAUACAUAUAAAUAUAUUUUAUACUAGUUUUUUUUAAUGUACGUUGCAUUUAUUAUUUUGAAAAUUAAUUUUUUUCUCCAUUAAAAUCUUCUAUUUAAACUUUUUGGAUGAUCAUGAUUUAAUUAUUCAUUUUGUUAAGAGUUUAACAUAAAUAAUAUGUUUUUCUCAAAAUUAUGAAGGUAUAUUGUUUUUAUUGGUUAAAUAGAUUACAAAAUUUUAUUUUAUUAUUAUAAUUAAAUCUUGAGUAGAUACAUUAGGAAUCAAAUAUAUAUUUUAAUAUAUAAAAUAAAUUCAUUAAAAUAUUAUAUUUAAUAAUAUAAUGAAUUUCUAGAUAAAAAAUUUAAUUUCUUAUAAAAAAUAAAUAAAAAUUUAGUUAAGAGAUUAAGAGUAAAGUAAUUAAUAUCUCUAAAAACAAAGAAAAAUGAUAAAGCAAAGAGUUUUUAUUAAUUCAACUCUAUUAACAAACUGUGAUAAAUCAUCGUAUACAAUAGCCAUGAAAGGAAGAGAAAAUAAUUCAGCUACAAUAAUUAAUAAAAAUUAUAUGUUUUAAUGCAUUUCAUAUAAUCCCCAUUGCCUUCUAAGAAUGCAAUAUAUACCUUGACUUGAGAGCUUAAGCAUUCCGUCUUUGCACUAGAAGAAAUCUUUUUCUAUAGACUCAAAAGAAUCUAAAAUAAUUAGUCUAAGUUUAUUAAAUAAUCUGUUUAUAUUUAUCUAAAGAAAUAGACUCAUUGUAGAAGAAGUAUUAAUAAUUAAUUACAAUUAAGGUUUAUUUCUUAUAUAGGUAGCAAUACCUUCUUUAAUUAUUUUCAGCAAGUUUUUAAUUUGUUUAUUAUUUAUCUUUAACUUUUCAAAUAAUAAAAUUAAAAUCUUUAAAAAUAUGUUUGUCAUCUCUAUCAAAAUUUAAUAAGAGUAUCUUGGUUCAUCCCAGCAUUUUUCUUUCCUAUUAAUUCCUACUUUCAUAUAUAUCACUAUUAUUAUAGGUUAAAAUUUCUAAUUUAAAUACAAAUAAAAACUUUCUUAAUUAAUUUUAAGAAUAUCUUAGUGAAUAAAUAUUAAAAUUAUAAUCUAAAUCCUUAUAAAUAAAUUAUUAAUUUCAAUUAAUCUGUGAUUUCUAAUUGAGAUGUUUUAUAAUAAUUAAAAUUCUUGAUUUAAAUAAAAAAUUCCUAAAAAAUUUCUACUCCAAAAUAAAAGCUAUACAAACUAAUAGCAAUAAAUACGUCAAAUAAAUCCACUAUUAUUACUUGUUUUUAUUUCCUAAUUUGAGUUCUAAAUUAGUGUACAAAUCAUUAUUUAAUUUUUUAUUUUUAUAAUUUAAUUUUAAUUUUAUGAAUGAAGAAUAUGAAUGGAUUUAUUCCUGAUUAGUUUUACUAUAUUAUGAAUUCAAUAUAUGAAAAUAAAUAUAUAUUAAAAUUUAAAAUUUAAAUUGAACAUUUUUAAAUAUGAAUCAUAUUAGGAUCCAAUAUACAUUUUAUAAUAUUUAAUAAUAAUAAUAAUAAUAAUAAUAAUAUAUAAUAUAAUUUAUAUUCUACAUAUUAUAAUUAUAUAUACAUAUAAUUUUCUAUUAACUUUUUAUAUAAUGAAAUUUUAUAUUAAUUUUUUAUAUUAAUGAAAAUCUAAGGAUAUAAUAACAAUGCUAUGUGAUUAAAAAGAUUUUCCUACGUAUAUUAAGAUUCAGAUGAUUAUAUAUAUAAUUGAAAUAUAUAUAUAUAUAUAUAUACACACACGUUCUUAAUUAGAAUAGGGGUAAAUGGGACAAUUUUGCUAUUUAGAAUUAAAUUAAACUUUCUAAUAGAAUUUAGAUUCAAAUAAGAAAUUAACAUAACCAAUCAAAAUUAAACUACUUAUAUUUUUCAACCAAUAAAAUUAAAGUCUUCAAUGAUAUUUUUGUGAAUCAAUAAACUUAGCAGGGGUGUUUUAGGAACCCAAUAUCUCCCCUCCCUAUUCGUAUUUUUAAUUGAGUAAUAUUACUAUUUUUUUCUAAUUUUAAUGCUUUGUUUGUAACCCAUAAUAUUUAUUGUUCAUUGAUAAACAUAUAAUUACGUGUACUAAUUUAAAAAUAACUAUGAAAAUUUUAAUUAGUAGAUUAAGAGCAAAAUAAUUGAUACCUCCAUAAUUUAGAAAGAGAAUGCUAGAGCGAGGAGUCUUGGAUUGCAAUAGUCAAUGAAAUGCAACCAUAUCUCUUUACUUCAAAAAAAAGUAAAAUACAAUAAGAAGCAUUAAAGGAAAAAUAUUACAAUUAUUAAUUUCAUUUUUCAUAAUAAUUAAAUUAAAAUUUAAUUUAUGAUUGCAAUUGUUUUUAGCGAUAACAUUAUGGUUACACUUAUUUUUCUCUUUUCUUGGCAUUGAAAUUAAAAUUUUAUAUUUUCUUUCAAAAACGUCAUGAGGGAUUGGUUUUAUUAGUUGGUUUAUUACAGAAAACGUCUAUAAAUAUAAAGAAAAAUAUUUAUAUUUAAUUUGUACGAAUAGAUGAAGAAUUUUGUAUAUUUCUUCUCAUUAUAAAAUCUGUACAUUGGGUUCUAUUUAUAUUUACAAAUGUAUAGUAUAUUCUUAUUCUAGGACCUACUGUAUUGUAUAUUAUCUCAUGUAACAGAAUUACAGCUGUAAAAUGGGUUUGUUAUAUGGGUUAAUGGGUUAGUUGGGUUUGUUAUAUGGGUUUGGGUUAAGUAAAAUGGGUAUGGUAUGUGGGUUUAAUAUAAAUAGAAAAUGUUGUGUUUAAGUUUUAGGGUUUUCUUUGGUUAGAACGACAGCUUCUCUAAUGUUGGCUUUUAGGCUCAUAUUCGUUCAUGCCCCCCUCAAGUUGGAGAUGUGGUAACGAAACCAAGCCCAACUUGACAGUCAUGAGGCGAAAGCGGGAGAUGGGUAACAGUUUGGUGAAAAAAUCAGCAAGUUGGGACACUGAAGGGAGAUGCUUUUGUGUCGAUAAAACCAGAUUGAAUGUAAUGGCGGGUGAGAUGGCAGUCGAUGUCAAUAUGCUUGGUGUGCUCGUGAUAAACGAGGUUGGCGGCAAUAUGCAACGUCGCUUGGUUGUCGCAAAAUAAAGGUAUGGGAUUUUUCACUUUUACCCGUAGAUCUGUGAGUAUCUUUUCAAUCCAAAUGAUUUCGCACACUGUAUUAGCCAUAUCUCUGUACUCUGCUUCAACAGAGGAGCGACUGACCACCGUUUUUUUUUUUGUUUUCCAUGAGAUGAGUGAGGAACCCAGAAAAAUACAGUAACCUAUAAGUGAUCGGCGAGUCUCGAUGCAAGCCCCCCAAUCAGCAUCACAGUAUGCUUGGAGAUCAAGCGUAGAAGAGGUGGGGAAGAACAAUUUCAGAUUUGUGGUGGAGGCUAAGUAGCGUAGAACAUGAGAAGCAGCUACCAUAUGACCUUGACAAGGAUUUUGCAUGUGUUGAGAUAACUGUUGAACUGAGUAAGUAAUGUCAGGUCUGGUGAAGCUCAGGUAAAGUAGCCUCCCCACUAGUCGACGAUAAUAGUCUGGUUCUGUGAGUAAUGGUCCCAUGUGUGCUUGAAUCUUCUGGCCUUGUACUAAUGUUGUGGAUGAAUGUUUGGCGUGCUGCAUGUGUGAAUCUAACAGCAUGUCUUGAAUGAAUUUCUGUUGUGAUAAGUAGAUGCCAUCAUUAGACCAUAAGAUUUCAAUGCCCAAGAAAAAUCUUGCGUUGCCUAGAUCUUUUAUAGUAAGUUUAGAGUGUAGAAACUCUUUGGCGUUGCAUAUAAGUUGAAUGUCAGGUCCAACAACUAAAAUAUCAUCCACGUAGACAAUAAGUGCUAGUAAGUCAUUGUCUUCUCCUUUGGUAAAUAGGUAGUGGUCAUUCACUGAUUGUUGAAAUCCGUACUAGAUUAAUGUAUUUGUCAACUCUUGGUUCCACAUUCUGCCAGCUUGUUUGAGUCCGUAAAGUGAUUUAGUCAGUUUGCAUACUUGGCCUUUAGAAGCUUUAGAAUAGCCAGCUGGGGGUUGCAUGUAGAUGUCCUCAUCAAUAAAACCAUGUAGAUAGGCAUUGUUAAUAUCAAGCUGGUGAAGGUUCCAUUGAUAUUUAGCAAGGGCAAACAUAAUUCUCACAGUUACCAUUUUAGCAACAGGAGAAAAACUGUCAUUGUAAUCAAUGCUUAGUUUUUGGUUGAACCCUUUAGCAACCAGGCGAGCUUUAUACCUGUCUACAGUUCCAUCCUGUUUGUAUUUGACCCUGUAGACCCAUUUGCAUCCAAUGGCCCGUUUCCCUUUAAGCAACUCAGUUAAGACCCAAGUACCAUUGUCUUCCAAAGCCUGCAGUUCAAUUUGCAUUGCUUGCACCCAAUUUUCAUUAGAAAUAACAUGAUUAUAUGAUAAUGGUUCAUGAAUUUUGUUGACAUUAGAUGCAAAAGCUACAUAUGCAUGUGAAUAGGGUGAAUUGGGUAAGAAAUGUGUGGGAUUGGAAUUUGCACAAUUGGUUACAUAAUCUAUCAUCCAAGCUGGUGGUCUGGAAUUUCUUGUACUUCUCCUAAUUGGUUGAACUGGUUGGUCUGUGUGUAAUGUCUGAUCAGGGUCUAUCUGGUUGUAUUGGAUGGGUUGUUGGUGUUUGGUUCAGUUGUAGGUGUGGUCUGUUAUCUUGUUUGGUCGGGGUUAGGCAUAUUUUCAUUUGUGAUUGUAUGGUCUGAGAUUUGUGGGUCAUUGUCAUCUAAACAGGUUGGUAUCUUAAAUGUACAAGACUCAAGAGGGGUGUUGUGAUGGAAGGGGUAAACUGUUUCUUUGAACACAACAUCCCUUGAAUAGAAAAUCUGCUUAGAGUGCAUGUCAUAGAUCUUGUAACCCUUCUGUUAAGCCCCAUAACCCAGCAAUACACAUGGUUUAGCUCUAGGAUCAAACUUGUCUUUGUGUGGUUUAGUAUUGGUUGCAAAACACAGGCAGCCAAUAACUCUUAGGUGUGUCAGGUCUGGUUGUGUUUGAUUUAGGUUUUCAAAAGGGCUUAACCAUUCUAAGAGUGCAGAAGGCACUCUAUUGGUCAGGUAAACAUCAGAUAGGAGAACUUCAGACCAAAAAAUCUUAAGGAAUUUGGCCUGAAAAAGAAGGGCUCUCCCAAUAUUCAAGAUUUCUUUAUUUUUCUCUCCACUCUCCCAUUUUGCUAUGGAGAAUAGGGACAAGAUAGUUGAUGUGUAAUUCCUUUAGAACGGAAUAAUGUCUUCACUACAUUAUUCACAAACUCAGUGCCAUUAUCAGUCAUUAUUGUUUUGAUUUCGGUAUGAAAUUGGGUGUCUAUUAGGUUAGUAAAGUGGUCAAGAAUUGAGUGGACUUGUUGUUUUUUUGGUAACAUGUAGGCCCAUAUGUAUCUACUAUAGUCAUCCACAAUGGUAAGCAUAUAUCUGGCACUAGUUAAAGAAGUAAUAGGAUAAGGUCCCCAUAGGUCAAUGUGUACUAAAUCAAAUAUGCCUUUAGCAAUAUUACAACUUGGAUAAAAUGGUAAUCUUUGUUAUUUUGUAAGGGGGCAAACAUUACAUUCAAGAGUACCAUUGUUUGUAUCAAAAUUUAUUACAUGAUUUUGUCUAGCCAUAGAGAUAUGACCCAGUCUAAGAUGCCAUAAUAGUCUCAAAUGAUCAUCAUGUGUAGUACAAGUAAGUAGGGCUUUAGUAGUAGUAAUAGGCACAAAACACUUCUUAUCAAGAAAAUAUAAGCCUCCUUUCAACUUGCCAAUAGUCUGCAAAUACUUCAUCAGUCUGCAAAUCCCGUAACAAACAGUGGUCAGGUAGUGUUUUCACUGAUAGUGCAUUGUCUUUUGCAAGGGCUGAUGCAGAUAAUAAAUUGCAUUUGAAUGUUGGUAUAUAUAACACGUCAUUUAAUACCAGUCUAUCAUGUAUUAUGACCUUCGCCAACAUGUGUUAUAGUUCUAGUGGAGUUAUCAGGUAGGGUUACUGUUCUAGGUUUAGGAAAUUUGGUUAAUGUAAGAAAUACAUGAUGCAUGUAUGUCAUAUGAUCAGUUGCGCCAGUGUCAACAAUCCAUGGAACUACUUCACAUUUAUCAUGCACAUUAUAAUGAAAAUGAGAGAUAAUACCUGUAAAACUGACUGUGUUAGCUAUAGGUGUAUCUCCUGCCUUAUCAUCAUACUGCAUUUUAUCUUUGAAUGCACGCUGGAUCUCCAUUCUCACCAUUCUGGAUACAUCAUUCUCAUUGCCUCCUGAGUUAACAUUCAACUGUGCAUCACCUACUUGUCCAUAAUGUGCUUGAGCUUUCUUCUUCUUUUUGAGUUCAAUAAACCAAUCUGGAUAACCAGUUAGUUUAAAACANNNNNNNNNNNNNNNNNNNNNNNNNNNNAUGGAUAACCAUUUAGUUUAAAACAAGUUUCUCUAGUGUGGCCGGUCCCAUUGCAGUGAUCACAAUGCUUGUCAACUUUAGAUAUGGAAUUAUUGCUUGUAUUUUUGCUGUUGUAGUUUGCUUUUUGCACAUAAAUUGCACUGCUAUUCUCACUUGAAUCAUAGAUUGUAGUAUUCACCUCCCUCUGUUUUUGAACAUUCAGUACCAUUGAAUAAGCCUUGCUCAUACUUGGAAAUGGAUCCAUAAGCAGGAUUUGGUUUUUAACAUUGUCAUAUGUAUCAUUCAGUCCUAAGAGGAAUUGCAUGAGUUUUUCCUCUCCAUCUAGAUCUGAGACUGCUCUCAUAACACCACAGGUACAUCCUUCUGCAAUUCCACAGAUGCAUUUGGGAAUGGGUCUUAAACAAGCCAACUCAUCCCAAGAGUUUUUUAAGUUUUGUGUAGUAAUUAGUUACUGUUUGGUUACCUUGUACAGUUACUGAAAUAUCUUUCUUUAUUUGGUCAAUCAUAGGUCCAUUAGAUUCACCAUACCUGGUGGACAGUUCAUUCCAAAGAUCUUUGAAACUUUGAUAAUACAGAAAUGCUUCAACUAAAUCUUUAGAAAUAGAGUUUAAGAUCCAAGAUGUUACCAGAUUGUCGAUUCUCUGCCAUCUCUUUCUCAAUGGAGAUCCAGCUACAGUUUCCUGUUCUUCACCAGUGACAAAUUCAUACUUGUCUCUAGCCUUUAAGGUUAUGGUCAUAGAUCUGCUCCAUGACAAGAAAUUCCGGCUAUUCAAGGAAAUAUUAAUGAGGUUUGAAGCUGAAUUUUCAAAUGCAGAAACUUUAUAAGUUUCUGAUUCAAUAUUUGUGUUUUCAUUGUUUUGGUUAUUGUUUUCUACCAUUAAUUUCAGGAAAGGAAGCUUGAAUGAGGCUUUAGAACUUCAGAUACCAUAUCAGGCUCUGAUACCAUGAACAGAAAAGCAAAAUAGAUGAAGAAUUUGUAUAUUUCUUCUCAUUAUGAAAUCUGUACAUUGGGUUCUAUUUAUAUUUACAAAUGUGUAGUAUAUUCUUAUUCUAGGACCUACUGUAUUGUAUAUUAUCUCAUGUAACAGAAUUACAGCUGUAAAAUGGGUUUGUCAUAUGGGUUAAUGGGUUAGUUGGGUUUGUUAUAUGGGUUUGGGUUAAGUAAAAUGGGUAUGGUAUGUGGGUUUAAUAUAAAUAAAAAAUGUUGUGUAGAGUUUUAGGGUUUUCUUUGGUUAGAACGGCAGCUUCUCUGAUGUUGGCUUUUAGGCUCAUAUUCGUUCAAUACUACUAAUCAAAUUAAAAUUAAUAUAUCUAUGUAUGUAUGCAGCUAAUCAAAUUAAAUUCUAAAUAUAAACAAGGAGGUUGAUAGAUUACUAAAUUAUAAGAAAUAUAAAUAAAAACUAUUCUAUUAAUUUACAAGUACAGAGAAUUAAGAUUAUAGUUACCGCAAAAAGAAAACAUGAUUCCAAACUCAAUAAUUUCAAAUUAGCAAAAACAUGAUAUAAUAAUUCUUGAUAGUCAAAAGUAAUUAAAAACUAAACAUAUAUAGUGGUAUGAUAGGACAAAUUCCUAAUUAGAAUGGAAUUAAAUUUACAAUAUUAAUAUAAUAAAAAUAAUAAAUUGAUAAUUAGUACAUUAUAAAUUUUUCCUAUUUAAUUUUAUUUAUUCCGUACUUAAUAUACCUAUUCUCCAACUAAUAUAUUUAUAAUUCCUCCAAAUUUGAAAUAGGACUAAAUAAACUAUUCUCCAACUAAUAUAGGACUAAAUACAUGGUGAUCAAUGAUUUAUACUAAUUAGGAUUAAUAUAAAUUAUUCUCUAACUAAUAUAUUUUUAAUUCUUCCAUUUUAAUCCACCAAUAAAAUAUUAAUGACAUUAAAAAUUUUCUAAUUAGAAUAGGACUAAAUUAUCAUUAAUAAUAUUUUUAAUCAAUCAAUAAAAUACUAAUAAAAUUAAAAAUUUCCUAAUUAGAAUAUGACUAAAUUAUCCUUAAUGAUAUUUUUAUCAUCUAAUAAAAUAAAAAGUCCGUAGGGGCAUUUUAGGAACGCAAUAUUUCCCACAUUUGUACUUUUAUAUAUAUUAUAGAUAUACUGACGUGCAUUGCAUGUUGAUUAUAAUCAUUCUUUGUACUCGUUUAAUUUUUAAUUUUUAAUUUAUAUAAUAUUAAAGUAGUUCUUAUUUAGAUUAAAAUAAAUACAGAGGUUGAUUUACAUUGCACUUUAUCCAAAAAUUACUUGUAAUGCUAUUUUUAUGUACUUAUUUUUAUUUUUAUAUAGUGAGUGGUCUCAAAUAAAAUUCAAUCCAAUCCAUAGAACUAAUGCUUUAGCCUCUAAUUUAUAUAUGUAGAUAUUUGAAACCAUAAUAGAUGUUCAAAAAAGAAAUCAAAUCAUCAGUCAAUUCUCAACUCAUAUCGCCCAACCCCAAAUCAAUAUCUAUAUAUAUUUAUAAUGAAAUAAAAAAAUAAAAAUUAUUUUAUUUAAUAUCUAAAUAUUCUUAGUGCUAGGCAAAAGAAAAGAAAUGAAAAGUUGAUUUGAAUUGUUUAAAAAAACAUGAACCAUAAUGAAAGUAGUAAUCAUUAGGCAUAAACUAAACCCUGUUAAACGGUAGCUGUCUUUUUCCGUUGCUUAGGUGAGAGUUUUUUUUUUCAAACAGUUGGCUAUAGUCAGGGGCGGAUACAAUGGGAGCAAUAGGGGCAUUUGCCCCCACUGAUUUUUUACAGUUUAGUCUGUAUUUUUUGACAUUUUAGUAUAUAUAAUUAUGUUAAUCCGUACUUAUUCCACUUAAUUUUUUACAUUUUGGUCUCAUUAAAUUAUUACUUUUAUGUGUUGCCUCCACUAAUUUGAUUUUCUACAUCUGCAUACGGCUAUAAUGGCAGCAUUAUUUACUUGGUGUAUUAAAAAAAUGAAUAUAUGUGCAUAUAUAGAUUCUUAAAACCCUACUCAAAAUAGAAAUAUAUAAUCCUAGUUUUUUACCAGUUUUCAAAAGAAAUUUCCCUUCAAAUCAAAUAGAUUUAGGAUAUAAGAGAAAAAAUAUCAAAAAAAUUAAAAAAUACUUAAUCAUCAAGAAAUCAUCUGUUUAAUACAAAGGAGAUUAAAAUAUCUUAUUAAAUGAAAGUCAUAGUAGUUAUAAAUGUAUUCAUUAAAGAAAAAUGAAAUACAAAAUAAAAUAUUAUGAUUAAGGAUAAAAUUCUUCAGAACUCAACAUAUAAUAAAAAAUAAAUUACUUUAAAAAAUUACCAAUUUAAACCUUAAAUAUCAUUCCCUUCUUAACCGGAAAAGCCAUAAUUUAAUUCAAUUUGAUUUUAAUGUAUAAAAAAAAUUGACUAAAGUCAAUCAGUAAGGAAAUUUCCAAUCAAAUUAAUUAUAAAAACAUAAAAAUAAAAUAAUAUUAAAAUAGAACAAUAUAAUUUUUCUUUUUUUAUUCCUCUCCUAAAAUAAUAUCUUUUUAAAUCACAAUCAAAUAAUAAAUUAAAUAUUUUAAAAAAAUAAAAAGUUAAAACUUUCAAAUUUUAGAAGGCUUGAUUAUCUACAUGGAUUCAUAUGAAAAAUUAGUUUUAAUAAAAUAUAUCCAAUCAAAUCAAACAAAAAUUAUAUAUAUUUUCAAGUGAAAAAUUUUUAAUUGGCCUUGACUAAGGAUACUUUAGGGUAUCUUAAAUGUCAUUAAAGUUAUUAUUGAAAAUAUCAUUAAAGUAAUUAUUAAAAAUCUAAUUAUUCCUCCAUAAUAUUAAAAUAAAAAAAUAUUUUUUUUAUCGCUCUCCUAAAAUAAAGUCUUUUUAAAUUACAAUCGAAUAAUAAAAUUAAAUAUUUAAAAAAUAAAUUUCAAAGUUAAAACUUUUAAAUUUUAGAAGGCUUAAUUAUCUAUAUGUAUUAAUUUAAAAAAUUGGUUUUCAUAAAAUAUGUCCAAUUAAAUCAAAGAAAAAAUAUAUAUAUUUUUGAGUGAAAAUAUUUAAUGAUCUACUGCUAAGGUUACUUUAGAGUAUCUUCAAUGUCAUUAAAAUUAUUAUUAAAAAUCUCAUUAUUCCCCCAAUGCAACUGUUGAUUGUGUUAAUUUACUUGCUAGGUUUGAAAAAUUGAAAGUAAAAAUAAAAACCUUCUCCAACACUAUUGUCUGUUUAAUCCUGAGUCUGAUGUAUCAAAAAGAAAAAGAGACACUAUAGCGUGACUUAGUUUUUUGUUCUUUUUUUUCCUAUUUAUUCAUUUUUUUUUCUUAUUGUUUCAUUUUCUUUUAUGCCUUCUUUAUUUGUGCUCAAACUUCUUCUUCCGCUGAAACUAAUUUCUUCUUCGUGCACUUGGAGAACUAUUUUAAAAAUCUAACAUCUACAAAUACACAUUUAGUCAUAUCAUUCACAACUUCCUUUUAUUAAAACACAUCAGCCACAAUCUAUAGUUGCAUUGGAGAUAUUCUAAUGACUGAAAUUUCAGGUGAAAGGUUGUAUUGUAUAAAAUAAAAGCAAUUUCAACUCCGCAUCAAGCAAUUCCAACUUAUUUUUUUAUCAUCCAUUAAUUUUCUAAAGAAGACAGAAUUACAUUGCAUAAAAUAAAAUACUCUGAAAUUACAAACCAAAAAUAAAUUUCACUUGAUCUUUAAAGAAUUCAAUGAGACAAAGUAGAAAAAUAAUUUGAUUUCAGAAACUCAUCUUUCACUGUUUUACAAACAGAGCCCCCAAAUAAAUGAAGUAUGCACCAAAGAAAUUAAAGACUUCAUCAUAAAUAAUAAUUACUCUUUAAUUUCUUAUAAUCAAAACUAAAUCAACAAAACAAAGAGCUGCAUGAGAUAAAAUUAUAGCAACAGUGGAAACCAACAAUUAACCCACCGGCAAGAAUGAAAGCGAAAUAAAAACAAAACGAAAAUAAAACAAGUCACCAUUAUCAUCGUUAUCAUUAUUUAUAAUAAAAGAGAAUUAUGGGUUUUAUUAAAUGUUGACAUGGCACUUCCUUUGAAGAGAGAGUCUUUAAUAUUUUAGUAUUUGUAUUUAACUAACUUGAGGAAAAAGUUGUAAAUUUUUUUUAAAAAAACAUGUUUUUCAUUAAACAUUCUCUCUCUAAUUUAUGGGAGAAUUUUAAAUAUAAUGACUUCUAAUAUCCUUUGUUAUUAAUUCUUUAUGAGUUUGUUAAGUAAUGUCUCAUUUAAGUAUUUUAUUUUGAAUUUGACAGAAUGAUCUUUCAAUAACAUAUAUAGAUUAGCUGAGAAAGUGUUAACAUUGUUGGCCAAUUCAUUGGAGUCUCCAAAUUAGAAAUCUAGGUAUUUCAAAUAUAGCAAAUGAGUUUUUUGAUAUAUUUUUUUAACUAUUUCAUUGCUGUCUACUUCUCACACAUUGAUCAAUCCUAUAAAUAAAAAUUUUCAAUUUUACAUAAUACAUUUAAAUCAUACUCUCUAUAGAUUGUAUGUACUUUAACUUUUAAUAAUUUAUUCAAUACACACAUUUUAUAACUCAAAAUUAAAUAUAUUAUACAGUCGCGUAAAAGGCGGUAAACCGCCUAGUAAUGACAAUAAAAGCAGAACAUCAAAACUCUAAGACCACCUUACUAAUUUAAUUUUAAAAAGCUAUCAAUUAGUACAGAUAUCGUGAAAUAUACAUCACUUUUAUUGACGGAGCCAGAGAAGCUAGGAGUGGCCCCCACCCCCUAAUAAAAUUUUUUUUUGAAAAAAAUCAGUAUGCUAUUCCUAUAUUUUGCCAAUUUCUUCGACUUCCUUGAAGCAACACCAUUACAGUUUUUUUAUUCUAAUAAACAAAAUAUUAAACUUUUCAAUUAAUUUUAUUUCUAUUAAAAGUACAUUAUUCUCAAUAUAAAAACAUUUUAUCAUUAAAAUUUAUUCAUACAAACAUGCAUGGCUUCGUGGUAAGUUGCAUCUACGUCGAAUCAUGACAAAUCUAGAAUCUACUCAAGGUGAUAUUUAAUUGGUACAAGCAGUAAAGCUUCUUUCUUCUCAGCAGUAAGACCGAAUUCCUCUUCCAUAUUAAUAUCUUCCUCCUUCAUAUUGUAAGGCAACUUCCAAUCAAAACAAAACAAAAGGUUUGCAAGUGCAAGCUCCACCAAAGUCAUUCCCAUGGUCAUACCAGGACAAAUUCUCCUGCCACCGCCAAAUGGUAAAAAUUCAUAAUUUUGCCCUCUAAAAUCAAUGGAACUGUUAAUGAAUCUCUCUGGACUGAAUUCUUCAGGAUUUUUCCAAAUUUUAGGAUCCCUUCCGAUCGCCCAUACAUUGACCCUGAUUUGAGUUUUGGGAUAAACUUCAUAGCCAUUUAUGCUGAACUGUGAGAUGGCUUCUCUUGGAACUAGCAGUGGUACUGGUGGGUGCAAUCUCAUUGUUUCCUUCAACACUAACUUUAGGUAGUCAAGCUUGCCUGUAUCACUUUCAGAUACAUUCCGUUUGUCUCCAAUUAGACUUCUGAUUUCUAAUUGUGCUUUUCUCAUAACUCUAGAGUCUCUAAUAAGUUCUGCCAUUGCCCAGAUUAGGACAAUUGCUCCAGUGUCCACUCCAGCCAGAAAUAUAUUCUGAUAUAUAAUAUUAAAUUGAAUUAUUCUAACAGUGUCAAGUUCAAGCCAAAAUUAGCAAUUCUUCAAUGGAAUUGUAAAUUUUUUAUAUAUCAGAAAUUUAUUUAUUUUUAAAUCAGAAAUUAUCAAUGUGCAAAGUUAACAAUAUGUUCUUAUUCAACAAAUGGAAUGAUAUUCUAUAUUUUUUUAUUGUCUAAUUUCAUUAAGUUGAGUUAGAAUUUAAUAUAUGCAAUAUUAUAAUUACUGUCUUUUUUUAUCAUUUCUCUUUUCUUUCUAUUGCUAUAUAUCUCUUCUGAAAAGUCUCAAAAACUCUUCUUAAUUUUCUUUCGAAUCCAAAACAAAAAUUAAAAAAAGAGAGAGACAGAAAGAAAUAAGAAAGAAAGAUAAUAAUUUAGAAAAUUAAAUAAAGUAAAACAAUAGAAAAAAAUAGUUUAUUUGGAUUUUCCCGUGAGAAAUCUAAGUACACUUAAUUAUUUAAAAAUUAUUUGUUUUAACACUGAAUUGAAAAUUUUUCUCUUAAUGCUAAAAUAUAAAAAUUAAAAGUUAGACACUGCAAAUAUAAUUAAUUUUAUAAUUUUAAAAAUUAGUGUUAUUCGAUAAAAUUAGUUGUUUUGUUAGUUAUUUUAGUACCAUUUUUUAUAAAACGUUACUUUAACCUCUAGAAACUAGUUCAAACGUUAUAUUACUGAAAACUGUAAAAAAUACCGGUCAAAACGCCAAAAGUUACUGUCAAAUUCAGCUUUAAAAUCUUUGGUAGUGUAAUUGACUAAAUCUUUUAAGAACUAAAAUCCCUAAAUAGUUUUAUUACCUUUUAAAAAAUUAUAAAAAUAAAUUUUAUAAAUAGUGAAAGGAUAACUAUUCCUCUACUCAAUAGCUAUCUUUUUUAUUUCCCGCUAAUUGUAUAUCAUUAACCAAACAAAUGUUUUAAGAAACAGUAGGAAUAUUACCAUGAGCAUUGCUUUGAUAUGAUUUUGGGAAAAGGGAAUUCCACCAGAUUCAGUUUGAUACCUCUCCAAAUCCAACAAAACAUCAAUUAUAUCUUCAUGUCCAGGAUCUUCUUUUCCCUUUUGGAUAUGAUCAUCAAUAAUCUUCUGGUAGAAGUCAUCAAAUUCUUUAAAGACUCUAUCAGAUCUUGCAUGGAGGCCUGUAAGCCUAUCAACAAUCCAUCCAACAUGAGGAAAAAAAUCAGCUGCAGUAAAACUCCCCAACAUAGCUAACCCUUCACGAACAACUUCUUGAAACCUUUCAUGGUUAAAUCCUCUUUCUUGAAAACUUUUCCCAAAAGCUACUCUACAAAUAACAUUUGCAGUAAGAGACAUAGUCUUUUCACUGAGAUCCACCGGAGUAGAAGAGGAAGAAGAUUUUAAAAUCGAAUCGAUUAACAAACCCACUUCUUCUUCUCUAAUGGAUUGAAAUGAUUGAACUCUUUUAGCACUAAAAAGUUCAUGAACACAAAUCUUUCUCAUUACUCUCCAGUAAUCUCCAUAAGGUGUGAAAGCUAUAUCAAGAAAAUUGUAAGAUAGUCUUCCAGUGCCGGCCAAGCGAGGUCUACUACAACUACUGAGGUCAUUUGUUUUGAUAAGCUCUUUUGCAGUUUCUGCAGAGGAGAUAAUAACUGUAGGAACUCGACCAAAUUGGAGAAGCAUGACAGGACCAAAUUUCUUGGAUACUUGCCAGAAAGAGUAAUGAGGCAAGGCACCAAGUUGGUGUAAAUUGCCUAUUAUUGGAAGUCUAAGCGGACCUGGUGGGAGGUGCGUGCUAUAUAGUUUCUUUUUCAAAAGAAGAAGUAAGGUGAAGAGAAGAAGAAGAAGAAGAAGAAGAAGAGGUAAGCACAAAUGUAGAGGUAGAGAAGCCAUUACCUGCCUGUAUGUUUGUCUCUUGUUCUAUGUUCAAGUGAAAACAAGAGAACAAAAAGUGGAAGUGGAAGAACACAUUGCUUUUUUUGUGGUAAAAUGGAAGACAAUAUCUUAGAAAAAGAGGAAGAAACCACAAAUUAAUAACCAGGGCACUGAUCGAUCAUAGAUGGCCGAAUCGGGCCAAACACGAUAAUUAAAAUAAUUGAUGGAUCCCACAUUUCAACUUCACUGUGCGUGUGGAUCGUGGAGUACUGUUACCUUUUCUCUCAAACAAAUUUAAUCACGUGCAACAUCUUCUCAAGCGUGGGUCCCAUACUUUCGUUGUUUCUUUCGUACAUAUGGCUUUAUCUAGCAUGAAAUAGCUUUACCUAACUGAAAUGUAGUCCCCACAGGAUCGUAUGAAAUUUAACUUUUCUAUAAUUGGAUUAAUGUUUUAUGUUGUUAUAAUAAAUAAUUCUCUAAAAAAAAAAUUUUUAAUUUGUAAUUUUUUAGUAAAAUGUUGGCUAAGUGGUAAAAAGUAAAAUUAAGCCUAAACUUUUGACUCUUCUUAUAAUUUUGACCAUUUUUUAUUUUUUAUCGCUUGAUAAAAAUUUUUUUUUUUUUCAACAAUCGCAAGCUAUAUCCAUCUAUUAUCUAAAAACUUGUUAAUGUCAAAAAAAAAAAAAACUUAUUGACUUUGCCGUCAAACUUACUCAAUGAGACCAUGCGCAGUGUAGUUGGAUGAAAAGUUAUUAAAUUAACAAUAAUUGCAUUAAUUUGUAAUUUUUUAGUAAAAUGUUGGCUAAGUGGUAAAAAGGAAAAUUAAGCCUAAACUUUUGACUCUUCUUAUAAUUUUGACCAUUUUUUAAUUUUUANNNNNNNNNNNNNNNNNNNNNNNNNNNNNNNNNNNNNNNNNNNNNNNNNNNNNNNNNNNNNNNNNNNNNNNNNNNNNNNNNNNNAAAAAAAAAAAAAAAAAAAAAAAACUUAUUGACUUUGCCGUCAAACUUACUCAAUGAGACCAUGCGCAGUGUAGUUGGAUGAAAAGUUAUUAAAUUAAUAAUAAUUGCAUUAAUUUUUCUAAAAAUAGUUAAACUUCUUGAAACUGAUUUUGUUUUAUAGGGAAAUUACUUCUAGGUCCCUACAUUUUUACAAAAUUAAUUUGUUUUUCCUCACUGUUUGGAUAAAUUAGAUUAGAUUCUUUUGACUUAACGUUUUUGUUAAAUUAUUUAGUCCUUUCGUUCCAAUAAUAAAUUAAUAGUUUUUUGCCAUUUAUUUUGAGUGAAAAAUAAGAUAGAGGUUAGAAAAACCCAAAUAAAAAAGCUACGGUUUGGAAAGCUAGAAUGAUGGACAAUUUCGUCAUAAUGCAUUGGAUUACAAAUGAAAAAUUUCUUCAUUUUUUUCAUAUCAAAUACAAAAUUUUAAAUUUUUAAAUACUACAAAAUUUUGGUGAAAUUCAUUUAUUCUAAACAAGGUGUUUAUCAUCAAUACAUGAUAAAUAACAAUUUUACAUUUUUUUUAAUCAAAUCUAAGGCUCCGCUUACUUUAAGAAAAUAUUUUUUGAGGAAAAUGUUUUUCUAAAAAAAUAUUUUUCAAAUAAUUUAUUUUCGAUAGUUUGGUAACAAUGUUGAAAAUUAAUUAAAAAUAUUAAAACUUUUAACUCAUAGGACCAAAAUAAUAAUAAUAAUAACAAUAUAAAUUUCGUAUUUUAAAAUUUUUAUUAUAAAUAUGAGAAUAAUGCAAUAAAAAGGUAAAUUAUAAAAGUCACCAGUGACUAGUGGUGAACGGUAAGUGGUGGUAGUAUCUAUCGAUGAUUAAUAAAUUAAAAGAAAAUAUAAAUUUAUAAUGUUAUAAUAAAUUUAUCAAAGUCCGAAAAAUGUUUUAGCACUUAAAAAUAAGAAGUCAUUUUCCUUAAAAAUAACAAAUAAUUUAUUUUUUUGACAAAAAAAAAUAUUUUCAGUUAAUUCAUUUUUUUAAACGCACCAAAUAAUAAAAAAUUACAAAAAAUAUUUUUAUGUAAGUUAUUUUAUGGAAAUUAAGGAAGGCUAAAUCUACAAAAGAUGCCAUUCCUAACUUUAACGCUUCUAAAAACAAUUCAAAAAGAACAAAAAUGACAAAGAGCUGCAUAAUUAACCAACCGCCAAGAAUUGAAAUUCGAAAUUGAAAACUAAUUGACCUUUGCGAAGCUGAUUAAGUCAUGCAUCUCUUUUUGGACACUAAUGAAUGGAGGCCACGAUUGUUUACAAAUAAAAUAAUUGAGAGUAUCCAUUGGAAAAAAAAAAAAAAAAAAAGCCAUCAAAAUUAUAUAUCUAGUCAAAAGUUACCACUCAAAAAAAAUGUGCUCUUGCGGUCGAUUUUACGUCGGUUCGCAAUAUUGAGAUGAUAUUGUGACCAAUUGCUAUAAUUGGGAGAUUGAAUAUCUACCGACCGAUUUGCUACUCAACGGCGAUAGAAUUUGCGAAGGACUCGCGACCGAUAAUAUAUCCGUUGCUAACUAUAGCGCUAAUAAUUCCCGCCAGUUUGGUUUCCAUUUUGCCACCGAUUGCGACUAAUUUGCGACCGAUUUUGCUACAGAUUUGCGACCACCUGAAAUUUCGUCGCAAAAUUGCGCACUACAGUUCAGCGCCAAAUUUAGUUCUCUGCCUGCAAGGGAUUAGCGACCGAUAGUUUGGUCACAAAUCGGUUGCAAUUUGUCUCACAACAAAACGACAUCACAAAAUUAAAAAUUGUGAUCAAUUUUUUUAAUGAUUUGCGACCGACGUGAAUAGGGCUUUAUAAGCGCUGGUCGCCUUGCACCAGCGCAACCUCGUUCUCCUUCUCCUCCCCAUUUCCAGCCGUCAGCCGCCUCCUUCUCCACUCUGUUGCAGCGCCGGUCGCUAGAGACACCCUUCUCCUCUUCGUUCGCAGUUGUCUGGUCAGGUACGACUGUGUUCCUUUUUUUUUUAUGGAAUUCUUUUUUUUUAGUUGUUAUUGUAGUUGAAUAACAGAAAAUUAACGAAAUGCUGUUAUUAUUGUAGUUAUUAUUCUCUUUUUUUCUUUAUUUUUUUAGUUAUUAUUAUUAUUAUUAUUAUUAUUAUUAUUAUUAUUAUUAUUAUUAUUAUUAUUAUUAUUAUUAUUAUUAUUAUUAUUAUUAUUAUUAUUAUUAUUAUUAUUAUUAUUAUUAUUAUUAUUAUUAUUAUUAUUAUUAUUAUUAUUAUUAUUAUUAUUAUUAUUAUUAUUAUUAUUAUUAUUAUUAUUAUUAUUAUUAUUAUUAUUACUACUACUGUAGUUAAAAUAAUGAAAUGAAUUUCAUUUUUUUGUUGCAAUUUCGUUUUCCUUUGUUUUUUUUUUUGUCAUUAACGAAAUGUUGUUUUGUUUUUUUUAUUUUCUUUGUUAUUAUUGUAAUUAUGAAAUAAUGCAUUUUAUCUGUUAUUAUUCUUUUUUUUUUUUUGGUUAUGAAAUGAAUUAUGCAUUUGAGUUGGAGGUCUAGUAGUGACCAUUUUGCUUUUGAAGAAUGUUGGUAUGAUAUAGAAGUGUUUAUAUUAAUGUGUUUUGACUUGAGAUUUGAUUAUAUUAUGUCGAAGUACUACCGAAUUUUUUUUAAAAACUGAAUAUGAAGAAUCGUACAAUUACUGAUAUUAUAGUAAGCUUAUAUAUAUAUAUAUAUAUAUAUAUAUAUGUAUAGUUACCCUUAUUAUAGAAAUAACCUUAGUAUUCCAAUAUUAUAAUACCUUUAAUCAAAUGAGGUAAAGAAUUAAAAGAGGUAAAAGAAAGAGAAGUAUGAUGGAGCCUUUGAUGAGUGGCCAAAAGAUGUGCGGCUUGAUUUCCCUCACGAUAUAUAUGAUGAAUGGAAGAAGAGUGAAGAUGCAACAAGUCAACAACACGCAGCAAAAUUGAAGGACCUGCUCUAAUCCAUUGUGCCCGAUUAACAUGAGCAACAAGAUCCAGACAAUCCAUUUCCACCUGGAUGGGAUAAAAACCUUUAUCAAUACUGCAGGAAAGCCCCCAAAUCAAAGCCUCAAGCUCUGCAUCAUAAGCUGUCCCGGCAACAAUCAGAAAACAAGCGGCAACAACAAAAUUACCAUGGCUGUUUCAGAGGAUAGCACCACCCGCUGCUGAAAAUUUAUUGAAAGACGCAUCAAUAUUUAGUUUAUAAUAAUCUUGCCUAGGCCGAAUCCAAGUAAUAAUCAUUGGCUUUAAUUUAUGUUUGCCAAAAAAAGCCGAAAUGAAAUGGCAAUCAGCUUUUGCCGACCAACUUGCUGCAAAUCUCUUACCAGAAUUGGCAAUGCUCCAGUUUAAUAACAAACUACUGAUAUCUUGUAAAAGGAGGUCUGGAAAGCAAGCUUCAUUACCCCAAUCACACAUACAAUACAUUCUCCACACAGACCACACAAUUACCUGUGGUACCAAGCGCCUAAACUUGCCCAUAGCCGAAUUUGGUCUGUCACAAAGCCACCAAAAAAUCAACGCUUACCGUAGAGAAUUUUUGUGACUCAAGAGUAUCCAGGAAAAAAGAGCCGAAAUAAUUCCAAAGUUUAGCAAUGAUGGGGUAGAAAUAAAAAAGGUGGUCAACAGUUAUUUCCGACUUGAAGCAAAAUGGGCAAUGGGAUGGACCAUAAAUCCCAAAUAAUUGAGGACGUCGCAGUAAAGGUAAAGCUCCCCUGAGGAGUUUCCAUGUAAAAAUGGAAAGCUUAAGCGAGAAAGAUGAAUCCCAAAUAGCUUUGCUUGAAAAGUAGGAAGCUUUGCUCUCUCUAACACAAUUGUAGGUUGAAGCAAGAGGAAAUAAUAACCGUAGUGAAUUGACAUAUAUGUACCCUUAUUAUAGAAAUAACCUUAGUAAGUUAGAAAUGUAAAUAGAACAAAAUUUGCCCUUUAUAAACAGAGUGUUAGGUUAACAAAUGCGGAUUAAUCGAGAUUGGAUGUACUGGAGGUACGAGGUCAAUGGGAUAUUAAGACAAGAAUUCUUGCAAGGAUUUGAAUUGUUUAUAUAGUUUGCAGUUUGGUAAUCCCAAUUGCAUAUAUGGUAAUAAAUUGAGGUGUCCAUGUAAUCAAAAGAAGUGUCAAAAUAGAGCUUUCUUAGAUAUCGAUACAAUUAAACUUCAUUUAUGCAAAAAUGGGUUCGUGGAAAAUUAUUACGAAUGGAUACAUCAUGGUGAACCUCGAGUUUCCAGUGUGUCAGACCACUCUAUUUCUGUAAGUCUAGAAGGUCAGCUUUAUCAAUUUCAUUAUGGUAAUCAAUGCAAUGAUAUGAUAAUCAAUGCGGGUAGAGUAGAAUUUCAUUGGGAUAAUAUGGAGGAAUCGCCAAACUAUGCAGCACAACAAUUGUUUGACAUGCUAAGUGCAGCUAAUAGUGAACUGUGGCCUGGAUGCAAGAAUCAUUCAGUUCUAUCUAUAGUGACACGAAUACUUCACAUGAAAGCGGAGCACCAUUUUUUAGAAUGGUGUUAUGAUGAUUUUGUGCAGCUCUCAAAAGAAAUGUUGCCUAAAGGCCAUUCGAUGAUGGAUAAUUUUUACCGGAUAAAAACAUUAGUUCGGGGAUUAGGACUAUCCGUGGAAAACAUUAAUUUUUGUCGAAAUAAUUGUAUGAUAUACUGGGGUGUUGACUCCAAAUUAAGAGAAUGUAAAUUUUGUAAUCUUCCAAGAUAUCAAUGGCUGGGUCAAGGGACUGGUAGAGUACAAAGAGAGAGGACUUUCAAGAAUAUGUAUUAUUUCCCUCUUGUUCCUCACCUGCAAAGGUUAUAUGCAUCUAUAACGAUAGCCGAACACAUAAGAUGGCAUGCUUUGCAUGAAUGCGAGGAAGGUAUAAUGACUCAUCCAUCAGACUCUGAUGCUUGGAAACACUUUGAUAAUAAUCAUCUCAUGUUUGCUGCUGAUAUGAGAAAUGUGAGAUUAGGGCUUUGUACUGAUGGGUUUCAACCGUUUGGCCAAUAAGGACGAUAAUAUUCAUCAUGGGCUAUCAUUGUCACACUAUAUAAUCUACCACCGUCAAUGUGUAUGAAAGAUGAAUACAUAUUUUUGUGUGUUAUUGUACCUGGCCCUAAUAAUCCGAAAUACAAGAUUGAUGUGUUUCUGCAACCUUUGAUUGCCGAACUUAAUUAUUUAUGGGAAUAUGGGGUUGAAACAUUCGAUAUUUCGACCAAUCAGAAUUUCAUAAUGCGAGCUGCUUUGCUCAGUGAUUUUUCAGCAUUUGGAAUGUUAUCAAGGUGGAGUACGGUAGGCAAAUUGGCUUGUCCUCAUUGCAUGGAAAACACUAAUGCAUUUACACUAAAAAAUUCUGGUAAACAAUGUUGCUUUGAUUGUCAUCCCAAAUUCUUAGCAGAAUCUCACCCUUGGAGGAGAAAUCGACCGUGCUUUAGAAAGAAUACAACUAUUUUUAAUCCCCCUCCACCUGUGAAGUCUGAAGGUGAAAUAUUACAGGAAAUUGAAGAUUUAGGACUUAUGAAUGUUACAAAGUUAGAUGCAGAAGAGGUAAAUAGUAAAAUUGGCAGGAAUAGCGGAUGGAAAAAGCGAAGCAUCUUCUGGGAUUUGCCAUACUCACUUCUUAUCCGUCAUAACCUUGAUGUGAUGCACAUAGAAAAAAAUGUGUUUGAAAAUCUGUUCAACACUGUCAUAAACAUUAAGGGGAAAUCCAAGGAUAAUGCAAAAGCGAGAGUAGACAUAAAGGAAAUUUGUCAUCGACCAGAACUCGAGCAAUCUGUACUUACUGGAAAGUUUCCAAAGGCAUAUUAUUCUUUAGAUAAAUCCCAAAGGCAACUCUUUAUUGACAUUUUAUAAUUUAGUUAGUAAUUAUAAUUAUAUAUAUUUGAGUUUUCGGAAGAGAUUCAAACAUGAAUAUAUUCUAAAGUCGUAUAUAUACUUAUCACUAAAUUUUAACGUGAUGUGCAAUUUUAUAUAGUUAUAUUUUGUUUAAACAAAUUUGAACAUGUACUCAUUUCACACGAGUUAUAAAUAUAUAAAUUUUAUAUAAUCAAAUCAAAUAGAAUAGAAUUAGAUAUCCAAAAAUACUCUACUUGUUGGUAUCGCUAAUUAACUUUCUCUUUGAAAGAAAAAACCGCACAAAUCUUAUAUAUUCCAAAAGUAAUCAUUGUGAAUAGUUUCAACUUUUAUAAAGAUUUCCUUAUUGUACAACAUAGGAAUUGCUUGUGUUGGGUUGAGUUUUGAGCAAAUUUUGCAAAAUUUAACCAUAAUGAGCAAUUCUCAUUUCAAAUAAUAAAAAAUAUUUUAUAAGUUUUUAAAUAAUAAAAAAUAUUUUUAAUUAUUAAUUAGAAAAAUAAUUUUACAUAAUAUAGCCAAUCAAAUGUAGUUUGAUUGGUCUUCUCACUAAUUUAAUGAGUUAUCUUAACCACAAGAUUUUUUACCAAUUCGAUAAGUAAAGAAAAACUAAAUCUACUUUGUAUUUGGUUUGUUAGCCUUUCAAUAAAUAAAAAAUGAUUAAAUUUUUCACUUUAAUUAAUUUCAAAUGGUAAGGGAUGAAAGCGUGCAAGAGAACAAUUUUUGUUUUUUUACCUAUUAGGUAUUAACGUCUUUUUUCUAUUCACUUAAUGGAAAAGCUCACUAAAAUCAAAUGAAAUGAUUAAAUGUACGAUAGAAUGAAAAUAUAUGGAAUUCAAAUAAAAAUAGGGAUGAAACAGUUACAUUUCCAAAUAUAUAUAGACGUAAUAGUAAUUUUUUUAUAAAAAAUUAUAUUUAUUCUCCUAAAAGUUUAAAAACUUUCAUAUGGCUGCUGAAAAAUAAUUACUCUAACUUUGCCCUUAAAAAAAAAAAAAGAAAGAAAGAUAGGGUAUUAUUUUUGUUUAAAUAUUAACGAAUAAGAAUCCAAAUUGAAUGUGCAUUAUUACCCGGUCAAAAGAUUACACCGCUUAUGGUAAGCCAAGGCGUCACGCAUUAUAUAUAUAUAUUCCUCGUCUAUUAGUGCGUGCACUUGGAAGUAGAAAGAUAGAGAAACAGAGAGAAAAUGGUUCAACAUGUGUGGUUACCUCUUCUUCUUCUUCUUCUUUUCCCCUUACUUUUUCUUUUGAAAAAGAAACUUAAUAGCAAGAAACUCCCACCAGGUCCACCUGGACUUCCAAUAAUAGGCCAUUUACACCAACUUGGGACCUUACCUCAUUACUCUUUAUGGCAACUAUCCAAGAAAUAUGGUCCUGUCAUGCUUCUUCAAUUUGGUCGAGUUCCUACAAUUAUUAUCUCCUCUGCAGAAGCUGCAAAAGAGCUUUUCAAAACAAAUGACCUAUAUAGUUGCAGUAGACCUCUUUUGGCUGGUACUGGCAGACUGUCUUACAACUUUCUUGACAUGGCUUUUACACCUUAUGGAGAGUACUGGAGAGAAGUGAGAAAGAUUUGUGUUCUUGAACUUUUUAGUGCUAAAAGAGUUCAAUCGUUUCAAUCCGUUAGAGAAGAAGAAGUGGUCUUCUUCUUCUUCUCCUGUGAAUCUUAGUGAAAUGACUUUGGCUCUCACUGCAAAUAUUACUUGUAGAGCAGCUUUUGGGAAAAGUUUUGAAGCAAGAGGAUUUAGCCAGGAGAGAUUUCAAGAAGUGAUUCAUGAA